RNAcentral lists this ribosomal RNA (334 nucleotides) under Escherichia coli. RNAcentral's name for it is "bacterial SSU rRNA". It matches the Rfam family "Bacterial small subunit ribosomal RNA", at positions 1193 to 1526 of the family's 1533-position model. Lineage: Bacteria; Pseudomonadati; Pseudomonadota; Gammaproteobacteria; Enterobacterales; Enterobacteriaceae. The record is from RNAcentral.
UCAUGGCCCUUACGACCAGGGCUACACACGUGCUACAAUGGCGCAUACAAAGAGAAGCGACCUCGCGAGAGCAAGCGGACCUCAUAAAGUGCGUCGUAGUCCGGAUUGGAGUCUGCAACUCGACUCCAUGAAGUCGGAAUCGCUAGUAAUCGUGGAUCAGAAUGCCACGGUGAAUACGUUCCCGGGCCUUGUACACACCGCCCGUCACACCAUGGGAGUGGGUUGCAAAAGAAGUAGGUAGCUUAACCUUCGGGAGGGCGCUUACCACUUUGUGAUUCAUGACUGGGGUGAAGUCGUAACAAGGUAACCGUAGGGGAACCUGCGGUUGGAUCAC